This is a long non-coding RNA of Eubalaena glacialis (North Atlantic right whale), 222 nucleotides long. RefSeq lists it as uncharacterized. The record is from RefSeq and is a predicted model, not a curated record. The transcript is spliced from 3 exons. NCBI's taxonomy places the organism in Eukaryota, Metazoa, Chordata, Mammalia, Artiodactyla, Balaenidae.
UUGACUGCAGCCUUGUGAGGCACUCUGAGCCAGAGGACAUCCAACUAAGCUGCAUCUAGAUUCCUGACCUAUAGAAACUGUGAGAUAAUAUCACUGAUGUUUAUAUUUUAAGACUUGGGCCACAGCCACCAUUGAAGACCACUGCACAAGUCCCACCCUAUGAAUGAAUGAAUGAAUGAAUGAAUGAGUUUUGGCAUCAGACAAAACUGGAUUCCAAUCGUG